Molecule: ribosomal RNA, 253 nt
Filed under: uncultured bacterium
Lineage: Bacteria
Description: partial 16S ribosomal RNA
Rfam family: Bacterial small subunit ribosomal RNA
Source: RNAcentral
UACGAAGGGUGCUAGCGUUGUUCGGAAUUACUGGGCGUAAAGCGUGCGUAGGUGGCUUAACAAGUCAGGGGUGAAAUCCUGGGGCUCAACCCCAGAACUGCCUUUGAAACUGUUAAGCUAGAGUCUUGGAGGGGAUAGCGGAAUUCCUAAUGUAGAGGUGAAAUUCGUAGAUAUUAGGAGGAACACCGGUGGCGAAGGCGGCUAUCUGGACAAGCACUGACACUCUGGCACGAAAGCGCGGGGAUCAAACAGG